Long non-coding RNA from Platichthys flesus (European flounder), 2017 nucleotides. RefSeq lists it as uncharacterized. NCBI's taxonomy places the organism in Eukaryota, Metazoa, Chordata, Actinopteri, Pleuronectiformes, Pleuronectidae. The transcript is spliced from 2 exons. The record is from RefSeq and is a predicted model, not a curated record.
CGUCACGUUAGCGGGGGUUGGGUGACACACCGCGGGGCAGAAUGGCGAAGACGGGCCGCGCCUCUGUCCCUGAAUGGAAGACUCCACUUCCGCGGGUCACUUUCAGAAUAAAACCACUGUCAACUAGAAAAUAAUAGCAAUGACUGUCUACAGGGCUCUCCCACAGAGAGGGGACAUGCACCUCAUUCCAUGGGACAAAUAUGUGCUUUUAUUUUGAAAGCUAAAGGAACAGUUGAGUGUUUAGCUGUGUUUGUCCUGCAGCUUCUCACGUCUCAUUCUGGGAGACUCCACCGAUGCAGAAUUAUUAUCCAGACCACAGACUGUAAAGAGCCGCCCUGCGAACACACACUGCAUAAUGUGUCAACAUGUGUGUAAUGUGGCUGACGCCUCUGCCGCUGAUUCUCCAUCCUAGUCUGUACUCUCAUGUACAUACUGUGUGAAUCAUAUGGAAAGUCUUAAGUUUUCAUUGUGGAAACUCUACAGAAGUUCAACAUGGCGGGUGGGAGCCAUUAAGAAACAUGUGCCAGACCAUUACUGAGAGUUUAAAAAAAGGAAAAAACAUCCACAGGUUUUACAGACACUAAAUGGAAAGAAUGUGUCACUAUUACUACAGUGGAUGAAAAUAAGGGGAUAAUAAUAAGAGAUCAAAUUAACUGCAAAGAAAAUAUGAAAUCCUAUAAUGACAGUGCUGCGCCCCAGUGAGGUAGCAGCAUAAUAAUAUGUCUAACUUUAUUUCUCCCAGUGGCAGAUAUGGCAGCUAUUAUUUGUUGGUUUCUCCGCUGGCUGCGUCAUGAAACCCAAACCACAUUUAUUUCCUUAAAAGGAAAGGGCCUGACUCCCCCUCCAGGAGAGAUCAGACUGUGAUAGUAACAAGAGAAAUUCAUAGUAAGAAAGAAACGACUGAUGCAUCUGAAGUGCUUUACAAGAUGAAAUGACACAAGCUAUUAAAGAAAACAAUUAGAAUGUCAAGCAUCUUUAUUGAAAAGAAGACCCCUAUAAAAGAAAGAAAAUAAAACAGAAAAAAAUAAUUGGGGGUUAACAGAGUCAGGCCUAAAUAUCAAAUCAUCAUUCCCCUUCAUAUUUGGUUGCAGAAAGUUCUGAGCUAUCCCUCAUGUGAGGUAACAGACGGAAGGGUUGAUAAAAUUCAUUGAUUAAAAGAGAGGAGCAAAUGAGUGUCAUCUGCACAACGUUAAGAUUUUACAAGUCUGGAAACCUGAGGUGCUCUGUUGUCUAUCUCACAGCCCCUCCAGAUGAAUAUAUGAACAGUCUGUGUGCCUUGUAUGUUCCAGCAACAUGGAACUUUUCCAAAAAUAAAUAAGCAUGUAGCUGAAGAUCUGCAGAUGCAAAUUGGUUUCAUCAAAGGCAAUUAUAAGUCAAAAUUAAAAAGUAAUUUCACAUUUCCUCAUCCACUGUCUGUGAAACCAGCUGUUGCCUUAUGUAAAUUAAGAUUUCAACACAGUAACAAUCCAGUUUAUAUACAGUAAAAGUUUAUUCACCCACAUACAGAUAUUAUAUAGGUCCAUUUCUCUCAUCCCUCCUACUGACAUCAACCCUCAUAAAUAUAAAAGAAGAGGAUAAAAAUACAUUCACUCACGCUGAAAGAAUCACAGAAAAAAGCUGCCAGUGGAAUUAGAAAAAGCCAGUGAUCUUUAUCAAUGAUAGGACUUCAGUAUUUGUGUAAUGGAAACAUGAGGAACAGACAUGUGUGUUUUAGGGAAAGUGGGACCUCUGUGUGGAUAUGUGUCCCCCUCCAAAAUCUCAACAGUUGCGCCAGAGGUCAUAAUGACACGCUGUAAAAAGAAGCACCCAUGAGUCUGGUUGGGAGUCUUGCUCAAGGACACUCUAGCGGGGUGGAUGUGCUUGGUGUCACCGGAACUGAGAAGACAGCCGACUUCAGACGAGAUCUCUGAUGUUUGGCGGUUUAAACGACAGCACGACAACUGACAAAUCAAUAAUUGGUUCCAGAAAAUUGAAACAGAAACCAUGAAAAGAAAAGUUUGGUAAGAACAACCACUAA